Molecule: long non-coding RNA, 342 nt
Filed under: Lathyrus oleraceus (garden pea)
Lineage: Eukaryota; Viridiplantae; Streptophyta; Magnoliopsida; Fabales; Fabaceae
Description: Pisum sativum (pea) long non-coding RNA (PSAT_LNC008768)
Source: RNAcentral
AGUCUCUAAUUUUUGCCUGGAUUACCCUUGCGGGUUCUCCACCGAGACGCUCAUUUUUGCCUAAGCCGCCCUUUCGGGUUUUCAACUUAGCAAGCUAUUCUGUUUUUUAUUAUUAUUUUUUUUUUGCAUAUACUUUUUUUUCUAGGCAAAGUAUCUCUUAACUGCAUCUGAAUUCACAGGACGAGUGAAAUCCUCCCCAUCCAUUGUUGUAAGCAUCAAAGCUCCGCCUGAAAAGGCUCUCUUAACAACAUAUGGACCCUCGUAGUUUGGAGUCCACUUGCCCCUGGAAUCGGGCGCGAAAGACAAAACUUUCUUGAGCACGAGGUCACCUUCUCGGAACAC